This 532-nucleotide ribosomal RNA is filed under the name uncultured bacterium. RNAcentral describes it as "bacterial SSU rRNA". It matches the Rfam family "Bacterial small subunit ribosomal RNA", at positions 777 to 1311 of the family's 1533-position model. The record is from RNAcentral.
AAUAGAUACCCUGGUAGUCCACGCCGUAAACGAUGUCGACUUGGAGGUUGUGCCCUUGAGGCGUGGCUUCCGGAGCUAACGCGUUAAGUCGACCGCCUGGGGAGUACGGCCGCAAGGUUAAAACUCAAAUGAAUUGACGGGGGCCCGCACAAGCGGUGGAGCAUGUGGUUUAAUUCGAUGCAACGCGAAGAACCUUACCUACUCUUGACAUCCACGGAAUUUAGCAGAGAUGCUUUAGUGCCUUCGGGAACCGUGAGACAGGUGCUGCAUGGCUGUCGUCAGCUCGUGUUGUGAAAUGUUGGGUUAAGUCCCGCAACGAGCGCAACCCUUAUCCUUUGUUGCCAGCGGUUAGGCCGGGAACUCAAAGGAGACUGCCAGUGAUAAACUGGAGGAAGUGGGGAUGACGUCAAGUCAUCAUGGCCCUUACGAGUAGGGCUACACACGUGCUACAAUGGCAUAUCAAAGNGAAGCGACCUCGCGAGAGCAAGCGGACCUCAUAAAGUAUGUCGUAGUCCGGAUUGGAGUCUGCAAC